AGCAGUAGCCGCGGUAAAACGGAGGGGGCUAGCGUCGUUCGGAAUUACUGGGCGUAAAGCGCACGUAGGCGGCUUUGUAAGUUAGAGGUGAAAGCCUGGAGCUCAACUCCAGAAUUGCCUUUAAGACUGCAUCGCUUGAGUCGCGGAGAGGUGAGUGGAAUUCCGAGUGUAGAGGUGAAAUUCGUAGAUAUUCGCAAGAACACCAGUGGCGAAGGCGGCUCACUGGCCCGAUACUGACGCUGAGGCACGAAAGCGUGGGGAGCAAACAGGAUUAGAUACCCCAGUAGUCCCUGUCUCUUAUAC
This 303-nucleotide ribosomal RNA is filed under the name uncultured bacterium. Its description in RNAcentral is "partial 16S ribosomal RNA". It matches the Rfam family "Bacterial small subunit ribosomal RNA", at positions 507 to 807 of the family's 1533-position model. The record is from RNAcentral.